Molecule: ribosomal RNA, 630 nt
Filed under: uncultured bacterium
Lineage: Bacteria
Description: bacterial SSU rRNA
Rfam family: Bacterial small subunit ribosomal RNA
Source: RNAcentral
AGUGGCGAACGGGUGAGUAUUGCACAGGUAACUUGCCCCUAAGACUGGGAUAACUACUUGAAAAGGUAGCUAAUACCGGAUACUCUCGCGAGAUCACAUGAUCUUGCGAGGAAAGUUUUUUCGCUUAGGGAUAGGCCUGUGUCUGAUUAGUUUGUUGGUGGGGUAAUGGCCUACCAAGACUGCGAUCAGUAGCUGGUCUGAGAGGAUGAACAGCCACACUGGGACUGAGACACGGCCCAGACUCCUACGGGAGGCAGCAGUGGGGAAUAUUGCGCAAUGGGCGAAAGCCUGACGCAGCGACGCCGCGUGAGCGACGACGCCCUUCGGGGUGUAAAGCUCUUUCAGUGGGGAAGAUAAUGACGGUACCCACAGAAGAAGUCACGGCUAAUUACGUGCCAGCAGCCGCGGUAAUACGUAAGUGGCAAGCGUUAUCCGGAUUUACUGGGCAUAAAGAGCACGUAGGCGGUACCCUAAGUCAGAUGUUAAAUCUUGCAGCUUAACUGCAAACUGCAUUUGAAACUGGGGUGCUAGAGGUCAGUAGAGGAAAGCGGAACUCAUAGUGUAGCGGUGAAAUGCGUAGAUAUUAUGAGGAACACCAGUGGCGAAGGCGGCUUUCUGGACUGAAUCUGA